Molecule: non-coding RNA, 45 nt
Filed under: Schistosoma mattheei
Lineage: Eukaryota; Metazoa; Platyhelminthes; Trematoda; Strigeidida; Schistosomatidae
Source: RNAcentral
AUCCAUCUGAAGAUUCGCAAGUAGAAGGAAACACGUGUCCUGGAU